AUUGAACGCUGGCGGCAGGCCUAACACAUGCAAGUCGAGCGGAUGAAGGGAGCUUGCUCCUGGAUUCAGCGGCGGACGGGUGAGUAAUGCCUAUGAAUCUGCCUGGUAGUGGGGGAUAACGUCCGGAAACGGGCGCUAAUACCGCAUACGUCCUGAGGGAGAAAGUGGGGGAUCUUCGGACCUCACGCUCUCAGAUGAGCCUAGGUCGGAUUAGCUAGUUGGUGGGGUAAAGGCCUACCAAGGCGACGAUCCGUAACUGGUCUGAGAGGAUGAUCAGUCACACUGGAAGUGAGACACGGUCCAGACUCCUACGGGAGGCAGCAGUGGGGAAUAUUGGACAAUGGGCGAAAGCCUGAUCCAGCCAUGCCGCGUGUGUGAAGAAGGUCUUCGGAUUGUAAAGCACUUUAAGUUGGGAGGAAGGGCAGUAAGUUAAUACCUUGCUGUUUUGACGUUACCAACAGAAUAAGCACCGGCUAACUUCGUG
Molecule: ribosomal RNA, 484 nt
Filed under: uncultured bacterium
Lineage: Bacteria
Description: partial 16S ribosomal RNA
Rfam family: Bacterial small subunit ribosomal RNA
Source: RNAcentral